ACGUAGGGGGCAAGCGUUGUCCGGAAUCAUUGGGCGUAAAGCGCGUGUAGGCGGCUCGAUAAGUCCGCUCUGAAAGUCCGGGGCUCAACCCCGGGAGGCGGGUGGAUACUGUCGAGCUAGAGUCCGGAAGAGGCGAGUGGAAUUCCUGGUGUAGCGGUGAAAUGCGCAGAUAUCAGGAGGAACACCAAUGGCGAAGGCAGCUCGCUGGGACGGUACUGACGCUGAGACGCGAAAGCGUGGGGAGCAAACAGGA
Molecule: ribosomal RNA, 253 nt
Filed under: uncultured prokaryote
Description: partial 16S ribosomal RNA
Rfam family: Bacterial small subunit ribosomal RNA
Source: RNAcentral